This 330-nucleotide ribosomal RNA is filed under the name uncultured eukaryote. RNAcentral's name for it is "partial 18S ribosomal RNA". It matches the Rfam family "Eukaryotic small subunit ribosomal RNA", at positions 1470 to 1796 of the family's 1831-position model. The record is from RNAcentral.
CCCUUAGAUGUUCUGGGCUGCACGCGCGCUACACUGAUGCAUUCAACGAGUCUAAAACCUGGUCUGAUAGGGCUGGGUAAUCUUUUGAAUGUGCAUCGUGAUUGGGAUAGAUGAUUGCAAUUCUUCAUCUUCAACGAGGAAUGCCUAGUAAACGCAAGUCAUCAGCUUGCAUUGAUUACGUCCCUGCCCUUUGUACACACCGCCCGUCGCUCCUACCGAUUGAAUGUUCCGAUGAAUACCAUGGACUGAGAGUGUGAAUGGGUUCGCCUAUUUCUGCUUCUCGGGAAGUGGAGUAAAUCUUAACAUUUAGAGGAAGGAGAAGUCGUAACA